This 2027-nucleotide long non-coding RNA is filed under the name Triticum aestivum (bread wheat). RNAcentral describes it as "long non-coding RNA (TAES_LNC000077)". Lineage: Eukaryota; Viridiplantae; Streptophyta; Magnoliopsida; Poales; Poaceae. The record is from RNAcentral.
UGCUCUCUUCUCCUCCUGCUGCCGAUUGAUUCAGCUUGUGGCCGCCGGUUGAGCAAGGAGACAGUCGGCGAGGGCGUCGAGGAAGCCGCGGAGCAAGAUGCAGAGGAGGCAUGGAGAUGUGAGUUUUGUUUUUCUUCUUUUUGUUGACCGAAAUGAUUAUUGAUUGAUUCAUUCAAGUGGAACCUCCAAUGAUUGCACCAAUAACCACUGAGGCCUCGAUCAAUGCAACAGUCUUGUGGAGAUGGAUGUACUCAAGGCGGUCAAGAGGUACGUACGGUCUUAGGUGGUGUUUGUUUCUCUAGUCCUAGGACUUUUUCUAGUCCCUGGGACUUUUUAAAAAAGACUCUCAAGGAGGUGCUUCUAAGGACUUUUAGCAAAAAGUCUCAAAAAAGUCCCACCCUGUUUGGUUUGCUAGGGACUUUUUCUAGUCCCUACACCAAAAAGUCCCUGAAAACAAACACCCCCUUAGUUGAGCCAGUCAUCUCCAGAUCAACAACCUAACAACAAGUACGUAGACACCCAUUAUAUUCUGACAACUUGUGUGGUAGGAAUAGGAUAAUUUCAAUUUGUAAUUCAAAUGUAGCGUACGGAGAUACCAAUGCAAACCAUCCUUCUUAAUUACAAUAUCUUCAAAUGAUUCACAGAUCAAUUAGAACAUUUCCAGUCUGUACUAUUUGGGCGACAAAAUCUGAAUAGAUCAACCUGCUGACCUGGCCGGCGACGAGGCCCUCUGAUCCGAUGCAGCGCCGUGAGCUCGCCAAUGGCAUGGACAAGUCGAGCGGUGUGCUUGUCGGGACCGAUGUCUGGAGGAUAGAAGUUGAUGCUGGCCAUAUGCCGGAAGGCAAGCGCAAAACAUUGAUACGAUUUAAAUUUUCGGGUCCCUUUAUUGAUCAGCGUAUCAUUGGGAAGAAACCUAUUGGAGAAAGCGAGGCAUAAAAAUGGGAAAUUAUUAAUAGUAAGUGGCUGUUGAUGUACAAAUGCACACUAGUUCUGAAUAAAUAGACGGACCUUUUCUUCCUUCUGCUCUUCAAUAUUUUCUUCUUCUGGAAGAGGCUAGCAGUCUUAACAUCAUGCUGGUUUGAGGGGGAAAAGCCAUUUACUCUAUUUGUCACACGAUUUUUUGUAAACAAAAAAAUAGCAAAUGAGCCUACUGCAGCAGGAAUCCAGAUUCUUAUUCUGAAUAAUGUCAUCAAGAGAAACAAAAAAGCUUGUUUUUGUGACAAUAAUUUAUUCAAUGAAAAAGAGUACAUGAGGCCCGGGUGGAGUAAUAUAAGUUAAUUUGUUACGGAUAGGGACUCUUACAAGUGAGAUCCUCGAGUCCAAAAACUCAGUGCACUAGAUGAUCUUCUUACGGAUCACUCCUAUGUUGUCUCUUUCUAGCUGUUGGGCCCUUCGUCAUCGGUAUCCUAAUACUCCUCUGCUCCUUAUUCCCCUGGACUGGGAUCUUGUUCGCCACCAUAGCCAUGGUAGAGAGCACAGCCUGACACGGACAUUGCCCCAUUUGGCUUCCUCAAAGUUGUCAUUAUGGAUAUUGUCAUGUCUACAAGAAGCAAUCGCUUGGCAAUUUGUUGCUUCAAAAACAUCUUCUGGAAUCAUAUGGGGUUAGAGGUGUUCUGGUUGCAUGGCAGGUGUUCUCCCGAAAGCUAGACUGGUCACUGAGGUUCCUAGUUCCAGUUCCAUCAGCAUACCCUGCCAAAUGGUGAGCUCACAUCGCUGUGGUUUUAGAGCUCUUUUUUCCAUCACCUUUUUGACUCUCACAUUUUUGUUUUCCUCCAAUAUCUAAGAUGGAAUGAGGCUAAAGGCGGAAGCAAAUCUGAAUGCAUACCAGACACUUUGACAUCCUAAUUAAGGCAGGGGUAUAUAUAAGACUUAGUCUGUCCUAUGUCAUAAAUUCUCACCAUACUCCAUCACAAGACUGGGAAGUAAGAACAGACAGUUUUUCAAGCUCAUUUUUUUUGAUGCGAGGAUGACUCAGCCUCUGCAUCUGGGCGAUGCAUGCAUCCAUUUUAUUAAUCAUUCACAAAGAC